UUCCUACGGGGGGCAGCAGUGGGGAAUAUUGGGCAAUGGGCGCAAGCCUGACCCAGCAACGCCGCGUGAAGGAAGAAGGCUUUCGGGUCGUAAACUUCUUUUCUGAGGGACGAAGAAAGUGACGGUACCUCAGGAAUAAGCCACGGCUAACUACGUGCCAGCAGCCGCGGUAAUACGUAGGGGGCAAGCGUUAUCCGGAUUUACUGGGUGUAAAGGAGCGUAGACGGCGCGGCAAGUCUGAAGUGAAAGGCAGGGGCUUAACCCCUGAACUGCUUUGGAAACUGCCAUGCUAGAGUGCUGGAGAG
Molecule: ribosomal RNA, 305 nt
Filed under: uncultured bacterium
Lineage: Bacteria
Description: bacterial SSU rRNA
Rfam family: Bacterial small subunit ribosomal RNA
Source: RNAcentral